CGUCCUACGGGACGCAGCAGUGAGGAAUAUUGGUCAAUGGGAGAGAUCCUGAACCAGCCAAGCCGCGUGAGGGAAGACGGCCCUAUGGGUUGUAAACCUCUUUUGUCAGGGAGCAAUUGGCGCUACGUGUAGCGUUAUCGAGAGUACCUGAAGAAAAAGCAUCGGCUAACUCCGUGCCAGCAGCCGCGGUAAUACGGAGGAUGCGAGCGUUAUCCGGAUUUAUUGGGUUUAAAGGGUGCGUAGGCGGGACGGUAAGUCAGCGGUAAAAAUGCGGAGCUCAACUCCGUCGAGCCGUUGAAACUACC
Molecule: ribosomal RNA, 305 nt
Filed under: uncultured bacterium
Lineage: Bacteria
Description: bacterial SSU rRNA
Rfam family: Bacterial small subunit ribosomal RNA
Source: RNAcentral